Schistocerca cancellata (South American locust) is the source of this 746-nucleotide long non-coding RNA. RefSeq lists it as uncharacterized. Lineage: Eukaryota; Metazoa; Arthropoda; Insecta; Orthoptera; Acrididae. The record is from RefSeq and is a predicted model, not a curated record. The transcript is spliced from 4 exons.
ACCUCUGAUAUGGCACCAAGGAUCACUUGCUAUGUGAUCUUACAUGACUAAGAAUGUCUGAUACCCUUUUAAGGAUACAGGGCAACAAACGACAGCAUCAUCGGCAAACAAUCUAAGAUGGGUGCUCAGACUGUCUCCUAAUAAGAAGCAGCAGAGGGCCUGCAACACUACCUUGGAUGUCAGCAUCGGAGCAUCAUGGAAUAAAUAAGAAAGGUGUCCACAUUUAUCUGGCCACCGGACAGAUUGCAGGAUAAACCUCUGAUCUGGACUCUUGCAAUAAAAGUGCUUUAUGAACUUCAGCAGACUUGCUCUCUUGUCAACAGACAUGGUGAAAAUAAUCAUAAACUUCACAAAAAGGCAGAUAUAUAUGACAAUUGUCAAUGAUUUAUGCUUCAAAGCUACAUUUAAAUUACGUAACCCAACUGUUGCUAAAUAGUUCUCAUUUGCAACCUGUUUUAUCAAUUAGAUUUAUAUAUACUUUAGUGAACAAAGCUUUGAAAUCCUUACACUCAUUUUCCUCUAUACAUUUACUCUUUAAUAGUUUUUGUUACUAAGAAUAAAAAACAGUUUCUGUUAAACUAAAAUGUACACAGUCACAAGAUAUUUAUGUUUAAAUUAUUUUCAUGUUGACACUGCCUUCUUGUCUACGGUUUAGAGUGAAGUUAUGUACUCUGAUGUAAAGGUAUUUAGUGAACUCCAAUGUAACAUAAUGCAAAUAAUUAUGUAUCCCAACUAGUUAAAAAAAA